UACUCAUGUAGAGGAUGCGAGGGAAAUCGGCCCGUCGACCAUCCGGCAACCUGCUUCAGCAGCAAGGUGCCAAUGCCUUCCCGUUACGGGACCCAUGAGAG
This 101-nucleotide non-coding RNA is filed under the name Maridesulfovibrio salexigens. RNAcentral describes it as "Desulfovibrio salexigens SAM-I sequence". It matches the Rfam family "SAM riboswitch aptamer (S box leader)". From Rfam's summary of the family: The SAM riboswitch is found upstream of a number of genes which code for proteins involved in methionine or cysteine biosynthesis in Gram-positive bacteria. The SAM riboswitch acts at the level of transcription termination control. The record is from RNAcentral. Lineage: Bacteria; Pseudomonadati; Thermodesulfobacteriota; Desulfovibrionia; Desulfovibrionales; Desulfovibrionaceae. RNAcentral also lists the same sequence under 1 other name.